AUUGAACGCUGGCGGCAGGCCUAACACAUGCAAGUCGAACGGUAACAGAGGAGAGCUUGCUCUCCUGCUGACGAGUGGCGGACGGGUGAGUAAUGUCUGGGAAACUGCCCGAUGGAGGGGGAUAACUACUGGAAACGGUAGCUAAUACCGCAUAACGUCUUCGGACCAAAGAGGGGGACCUUCGGGCCUCUUGCCAUUGGAUGUGCCCAGAUGGGAUUAGCUAGUAGGUGGGGUAACGGCUCACCUAGGCGACGAUCCCUAGCUGGUCUGAGAGGAUGACCAGCCACACUGGAACUGAGACACGGUCCAGACUCCUACGGGAGGCAGCAGUGGGGAAUAUUGCACAAUGGGCGCAAGCCUGAUGCAGCCAUGCCGCGUGUAUGAAGAAGGCCUUCGGGUUGUAAAGUACUUUCAGCGGGGAGGAAGGUGUUGAGGUUAAUAACCUCAGCAAUUGACGUUACCCGCAGAAGAAGCACCGGCUAACUCCGUGCCAGCAGCCGCCGUAAAAC
Molecule: ribosomal RNA, 509 nt
Filed under: uncultured bacterium
Lineage: Bacteria
Description: bacterial SSU rRNA
Rfam family: Bacterial small subunit ribosomal RNA
Source: RNAcentral